AGGGCAGGGGCCCACGCGCAGCCAUCCUCCAGAGAGCAUCAGUCUAGGCUGCAAGCUUGAAGCGGAGCAGAGAGUGGGGAGCAGGUGGAAAUGAUGCUGCCUGGUCCCUGGGAGCCACCUGGAGGCUGCCCACCAUCCUUGAAAGGGGCAGAGAGGAGAGAGACAAGCCCAGCAAAGCUGGUGGCCUUUGACUGCAAGCACUGUCCUGGGGGCCCAGCCCUGCCUGCUGCCCUUUCCUCCCAGGUCAUAUGAAGGCUGCCGUGGACCAUCUGGUGACCAGAGGGGCCUGCCCAACAUCCCUCAGGGCCCAGUGCCUGUCUCAGGGCUUAGAGGGCUUCGGUCAGCCACAGAUGCCCAGUGUGGGCAAGUGGGCGGGUGUCAGUCCAUCAACGCAAAACGGCACUGCCCAGCCCAAACCACAGGAAGAAGAGAUAUUCAGACAGUCAUUCAGUAAACAGAAGACACUUCACUGAACCCAGAGGAGGUAAACGCCCACGUCUGACUUUUCGGGGGAAGGAGAACAUGACAAACACAAUCUAAGCAAGGGCUUAUGAGAAAAGAAAAGGUUUUACUGCGUGGGUUCUGGCAUGGGUACCCGUCGGGUCAUUCUGAGUUCAGAGUCCUGACCACUGACUUUUCCAAGUUCAGUGCCAAGGCUGUGCUGUCUCAGAAAGAUCCCUCCACUCCCAAGGCAAGGAGCUAAGGAGGGUUUCCACUCAGAUAACCUGAAACUCAAGAAAUGAAACUGAAUGAGCUCCUGGGCCCCUGGAUUAAGUGCAGUUUUCGUGUGCUUACCCUGGCAGAGGGCAGAGCCACCUUGCUCCCUUGUCCCCUCCCCACCUCCCGGUCCACAGCCAGAGGAGAUGGGCCCUAGCAAAUGGUGGCAGAAAGGCUGAAAGCCAGAUUCGCCUCUGAGCCCUUGGCCGGCCUGAUGUUGCGAAGAUCUUGAUGCUGCUGCUUCGAGCAUCACCGGUGCUGUGAGUGGUGCCAGGAGACGCACAGGCAUGUGCUCAGAGGCGGAAAGGCUGGGCUCGCCUCUGUCCCUUAUAUGGUGAGGCUGGGGAAAAAAACCCGUGUGGCUUCUCCAGAAUGCUUCAUCGACACCCUUGGCCCCUGCUUAGAUCCUAUGUGGCGACUGUUUCCUGCUAAGGUUAUGACAUCACUGCAUGAUCUUUCCUCUUGAGCAAAGUGGGGUCCAGGUGUUCCUCGUGGGGUGGACCCCAACACUGAAAAGGACAAGAGUCAAUGAUGGCAUUCACUCCCCAGGAAAUACACUGUUUCUCAGGGAAACGGCAGAAGCCCCAAAUGCAUCUGCCGUACAAAGCUAGAUCAGCAGAACAGCGGGUUUAGACUCGGAGGCCAGUUCUGUUCUGCCAGCAGGAAGAGAGAUGAUGCAGAAUGUGGUUUAUAGUUCCUGGGGUUUAGGGAGCUCAGAAACUCCCUGUCUCCCUGCCCUUGCCGCACCGUUGUUAACUGUGGAGGACAUUCUGCCCUCUCCUAGUACUGACAUUGAGUUUCCCGCAGCCUCAGUUUAUUUGUCAGCAAAAUGGGAAACCUCAUUACUCUACCUGGGGUAUCAAAGAGGUGGGAGUGGCUCUCGUGGGGGCUUCCCUCAGCCUCUCCUCCCCCUCGGUCCCCCUUCUCUCGUUCUCCCCUGCCUUCUGCUUGUUCUCUUUUUCCUCCCACUCUCCUGGUCCUCUCUCUUCUCUCCUCUCUGCCCACUCCAGGCAGGAAGCUGAACAGUGGGUUAAGAAGCACUGCUUUGCAGAAACACAGCCAGUGUACGAUCUUGCUUUUCCCAGCUGGGCAUGUGUUUAUUUACAUUUAGGAACGUGAGGUGGGAGGCUUAGCUAAGAGUUUCUGAGGCCGGGGAAAAUGACAGCAAUCCUUAAAAUGAUGCCCUCGCCACUGUGCUCAGCUGGCGCUGGGCCCAGGUGGCCACUGAGCCCUGAGUAGAGGGGCUUGGGGAAGGCGGUGUGGGACAGCAGGAGGGCUACGUUUCCCCCGAUGUCAGGAUCCACGUACUCAGUGUUCUCAAGCCAAGAGAGAGAGACAGAAGCACGACACCGAGACAGCCAGAGAGACAGAGAUGAGAGAGGGAAAAGACCAAAACUCAAAAGGGUCAAGAGAAAGAAACAGUGUGACAGUUCUUGGAGUUCCCGCUGUGGUGCAGUGGGUUAAGGGUCUGGCAUUGCCGCAGCUGAGCCUCGGACUCCAUCCCUGGCCCCAGGAACUUCCAUAUGCCCUGGGUGCAGCCGAAAAAGAAAAAAAAAAAAAAAA
RNAcentral lists this long non-coding RNA (2280 nucleotides) under Sus scrofa (pig). RNAcentral's name for it is "lncRNA (ENSSSCG00050002680.1)". The record is from RNAcentral. Lineage: Eukaryota; Metazoa; Chordata; Mammalia; Artiodactyla; Suidae.